GCAAAUAUUGAGAAAUUUAAGUGCCAAAACGAUAGAUUUCUUAUUAGAGAAGAGAUUUUUAAAAAUAAAAAUAAAAAAUGAUGAGAAAGUAGAGAGGAGAGAUCGGUCAAUGAUGCGUGGGGCUGAACGCGACGUCACCUGGGGCUCGGGAAUGAAAUCCCAAUCCGAGCUUUGAGGCCGGAAUCAAGUUGAAAGCUAUUGGUCCAUUUCCAUUCCAGUCUGGAAUAAAAAAAUCGAAUUUCGUUCCUGCAAGUCAAACAGAAUUAGUCAGAUUUAACCAAACUGAUUGUUGGCUUAAAUGGGCCAGCAUCCUGCCCUGUGGCGGAAGGCCAUGUGGGCCGAGUCAUGUUCGAAAUGGCGUGAGGCUGGGUUGGGCCGAGUCAUCUUCGAAGUGGCGUGAGGCCAGGUGGGCCAAGUCACAAUCGAGACCCGUGGGCGCUAUUUCUAUACGCUUUAAGUGAAUUGGUUGCGUAUUUCUAACAGCUUGAACUUUUGGGAUUAAUGGUUAGCACCAACGAUCCGACAAGUGGUAUCAGAGCCAGAGGUCACAGAUUCGAUUCCUGCAUGUUGCAAAUAUGUGCAGGUGCUGGAGGGGGGAUUGUUGGCUUAAAUGGGCCAGCAUCCUGCCCUGUGGCGGGAGGCCAUGUGGGCCGAGUCAUGUUCGAAAUAGCGUGAGGCUUGGUUUGGCCGAGUGAUGUUCAGAAGUGGCGUGAGGCCAGGUGGGCCGAGUCACAAUCGAGACCCGUGGGCGCUGUUUCUGUACACUUUAAGUGAAUUGGUUGCGUAUUUCUAACAGCUCGAGCUUUUGGGAUGGUUAGCGCCAACGAUCCGACACUGAUUUCCAUUUAGGGUCCAAAAUGGACGAACCAAACAUGCCUUUAGAAUAGUGGAUUUGUACUAAAAUUGAAAUUUUAGAAAAUUGUAAUAUUGAAAGGAAAAUUCUUAAAAUUAGGACAUUUAUUGCGGAAUGGUUUUUAAGUCUGUUUCAAUGCUUGAAUAUGUCGCUUCAAAGUUCAAACAUCUCUUUUAUUUGACAAACAAGGUGCAUAAUCAAUUAUCAAAAAAGAUACUAUAUUCACUCUCCAAGAUAUUUUCUGAAAAUAUGAUAAAUCAUUUCGUAGAAAAAAUAUGCUAUUCUAUCAAAUCACAGCUAUUAAAUUUUUUUAAU
This 1168-nucleotide long non-coding RNA is filed under the name Ananas comosus (pineapple). Its description in RNAcentral is "long non-coding RNA (ACOM_LNC030822)". Lineage: Eukaryota; Viridiplantae; Streptophyta; Magnoliopsida; Poales; Bromeliaceae. The record is from RNAcentral.